UCUAUUCCUUUAGGAAUUUUUCUCUCCAUACCAUUGUUACAUAUAGUUCUUAACAUCUCUACCAUACCAUACUUCUCAUUUCUGCAUUCAAUUCCUUAAUUCUUGAUACACUAUACACAAAUCUUAUAAUGGCCAAAAUUUCAAACCAUGUCUUUCUCAUCGAAAUUGCCUUUGGUUAUGUUCUUUUGUUCCCUUAAAAUCAAUAUCUGGUUAAUGUUGUGGCGGAGAGAACAGUGAGAUACAGAGACAGAUCGAUUUGGCUGCAGGGGAGAGUAAGAAGUUUUUCAUUGCUUUUUGUGCCUAAACUUUUAUAUACAUGAUGAUCAUGGUUAACUCCUGAGACUAUGAUAUUAAAUGGACAGUGGAAUAUAAUGAAAGUUGCAUUUAUAUUGAUUAAUUGGUUUCAAAAUGUAAGAGAAAUAAGGCUUAGUAUUUAAACCCAAACAUUUUGAAAAAAUGCAUUUCAUCUUAUUUUGAAAAAUGCAAAUAAUUGGACAUUAGUGAUUAGUGUUGAAAACUUAAUGUCGUUGUCUUUAUUUGAAGAGCCAUCCAAGAAUAUUCCUCUGCGUGAUGCAAAAGAACAAUCCUCACCGCGCUACGGUUGUGCUAGUGAGCUCCGGAGGUGCACCUGGCCCUGUUUCUGAGGUGUCACAGGACCUACAUACAGUAUUUGCCAAGAAAUUGUGAAUGAGUAGGAACUUCUAACACAUGAAAACAUCAAAUAUUUGCAUAAACUUAUUUAUAAGUUUGAUAUAUCAUAUAUAAACAUCAAAAUAAUUCAAGAUCCAAGUCAGUGGCUUCUUACACAAAGAUCAAAUGCUAAGGCCCCCAAUAAAUAACAAUAACAUCUAAAAAAACACUAUUUCCUACUUCCUAUGUUUAGAUCUUCGAAAGUAAUCUAACUGAAUGUUGUAUCCAUCAUGCCCUAACCAAGGUUGCUUAGUUUUUGCGCGUCAUAUGAUAUCAAAUGCUUCUCCUCUUCCAUACGCCCGAGGCUUUCCUACCAUAACUCCAAGUGAAAAAGCGAAAUACAAAAAUAAAAUGAAUUUGUAAUGCUCAUAAGUGAAUUCAUAUUAAUAAAUAAUGGCAUGACACAAAUAGCAAUAGGCACCAACAAAACAAUGUUGAGACUACAUGGAAGGAACUUUAUGCAAGUAUGAGGAAACCAAAACAAAGCCCAUAAGAAAACACAUAGAUCAAGUAAUGUGUCAUUUAUCUUUCAAUUUUUCUACUAAAAUAUUCUCAGAUAAUGAAUUUCAUUUUAUGAGAAUCAAGUUCAGCUAGAAUACUACUGUAUCAUUGGCCAAUAUAUAAUCGAUUAUCAAUAAUUCACACAAACUAUUAAUCAGUGCAUACUGCAUAAUGACAAGGAUACAUAAACAAUGAAUGAAUUAACAUAAAUUCAAAUAAGUGAAAUUCUAAGAGAAACUUACUCUCAAUGGACAGAAA
Molecule: long non-coding RNA, 1449 nt
Filed under: Trifolium pratense (red clover)
Lineage: Eukaryota; Viridiplantae; Streptophyta; Magnoliopsida; Fabales; Fabaceae
Description: long non-coding RNA (TPRA_LNC005780)
Source: RNAcentral